GGUCAGGCUGGAGACCUUACCCGAUUAGCUGAGAGGUGGUGCAUGGCCGUCGUCAGUUCGUACUGUGAAGCAUCCUGUUAAGUCAGGCAACGAGCGAGACCCACGUCCACAGUUGCCAGCAUACCCGUCCGGGGUGAUGGGUACACUGUGGAGACCGCCGCUGCUAAAGCGGAGGAAGGAGUGGGCAACGGUAGGUCAGUAUGCCCCGAAUCUCCCGGGCUACACGCGGGCUACAAUGGUUGGUACAAUGGGCAUCUACCCCGAAAGGGGAAGGAAAUCUCUUAAAGCCAAUCGUAGUUCGGAUUGAGGGCUGCAACUCGCCCUCAUGAAGCUGGAAUCCGUAGUAAUCGCGUUUCAACAGAACGCGGUGAAUACGUCCCUGCUCCUU
RNAcentral lists this ribosomal RNA (388 nucleotides) under uncultured Methanosaeta sp. RNAcentral describes it as "bacterial SSU rRNA". It matches the Rfam family "Archaeal small subunit ribosomal RNA", at positions 952 to 1338 of the family's 1478-position model. The record is from RNAcentral. Lineage: Archaea; Methanobacteriati; Methanobacteriota; Methanomicrobia; Methanotrichales; Methanotrichaceae.